CCUACGGGUGGCAGCAGUAGGGAAUAUUGCACAAUGAGGGAAACCCUGAAGCAGCAACGCCGCGUGGAGGAUGAAGGUUUUCGGAUUGUAAACUCCUUUUGUUAGAGAAGAUAAUGACGGUAUCUAACGAAUAAGCACCGGCUAACUCCUUGCCAGCAGCCGCGGUAAUACGGUGGGUGCAAGCGUUACUCGGGAUCACUGGGCGUAAAGGGCUCGUAGGCGGGAUAGCAAGUCAGAUGUGAAAUCCUAUGGCUUAACCAUAGAACUGCAUUCGAAACUGUUAUUCUAGAGUAUGGGAGAGGUAGGUGGAAUUCUUGGUGUAGGGGUAAAAUCCGUAGAGAUCAAGAGGAAUACUCAUUGCGAAGGCGACCUGCUAGAACAUAACUGACGCUGAUGCGCGAAAGCGUGGGGAGCAAACAGGAUUAGAUACCCUUGUAGUC
RNAcentral lists this ribosomal RNA (440 nucleotides) under uncultured bacterium. RNAcentral's name for it is "partial 16S ribosomal RNA". It matches the Rfam family "Bacterial small subunit ribosomal RNA", at positions 338 to 795 of the family's 1533-position model. The record is from RNAcentral.